Molecule: long non-coding RNA, 1790 nt
Filed under: Nicotiana tabacum (common tobacco)
Lineage: Eukaryota; Viridiplantae; Streptophyta; Magnoliopsida; Solanales; Solanaceae
Description: long non-coding RNA (NTAB_LNC006582)
Source: RNAcentral
UGUGAAAUUGAUUAAUAUUAAAGGUGAAAGAAAAGGGUCCAUGGCCCAACCCAAUUUCUGGAUCACAAUAUGAAAAGUUAAGGCAAUAGAACAUUGCCUUUUAUAGGAAAAUACCCUAAGUUGCCGCAGCUACCCGGUUGAGUAAGGGAAGCUUUCUGCAACUCAAGGAAUACCAAAUACUUACAAUUCUUCUUUUAGGAUUUAAAUAUGGGAGCUUCAUAAAGGGAAUUAGGGAUGGAGUUUUGGCAGCAAACCUUGUGCUUUAGUUCAUUAUGAAAGAAGCAAUUAUAACUCCAUCAAAAGAAAAUGAUCGAAGCAAUUGCAAAGGGUAUUUUGGGGUUAAUCUAUGGUGGCAUUAAGAGGAAAUAUAGCUGGUAUUGUAUUCAUACCAGUGGAAUAAUUUGUUUAGAGAUGUUAUCGGAGGAAGAGGCACCUACUCCGGUCAACAAAAGAGGAUAAGAGAAAUCUUUCAGUAUUAGCCGCAAUUAUAAGCAUUGACAUCGUGAAUAACAUAUCAGAUGACUUGGUGAGCAGCGAGUUUGAGCUGGGUAGCUUUGAGGUAAGUUGUAAGGAUUACUCUCCUAAUAGGAAUUCCAUUAGAGCGAACAUGCUUCAAUGUAUUCGAUGAAAUUUCUAAGCCAUAUCUGUUUAUUUUCAGGUACUUAGUUUACUCUAUUCUUAUUUAGUAUGACUUUAAAUACAAUGUGUCAGUCUUAUAUAUGCUUAUAUGUAUUAUUAUUUGCUGUGUGCCUUUGGUUGUGAUAUUUAUAUUUGUUUCAACACUCAUUUAUGCGUUAAUGUGAUCACAUUCAGAAGAGAGAGCUAGCCGACCUCCCCUUGCGUGAGUGCUUUGAUGCCAGGGUUAGCUAUCCCACGCUCGUAGGGGCAAUUAUGUGCUGGGGAGAUAGGUCGACACUCCCCCGUACGUGUUGCUAGAUCUCACGUACGUAGGGCCACUAUGUAUAACUAUUUUCCAGAAAUGUUAUUUCUUUGAAACUUACUUAGUUUCCAGCUUCACUUUCAUGAGUUAAUAGUUAUAAACUCAGUUUCCAUGUUUUCAGUUAUCAACUUACAAUUUUGCUUAUAGUUUCAGUUUCUAGCUCAUUUAUUGUUUACAGAAUUUAUUGCCAUGAUAUUAUCUGAACCCCCUUCCUUUCAUUUUAUGAUUUUCCCAGAAAAUCUUGCUCUAUCUUUUAGGGGUAGCCACUGAGAUUUACUGGGUAUCCUUUGGUGGUACUUAGCCUGAUUGGGCCUGCCACGUUGUGUGGCAGGUGUUGAGAUUGUAGGUGACGAGAUACGUGGCUAGAGACAGACUCCGUAGACUCAGUUGGCGAGCCCUGUUAGUUUUUCAUUGGUGGUCGGAUUUCUUCAGCUUAUGUUAUUUUUUUUGGCACAUUAUUUAUUCAAUGCGUUAUAGUUAAUGUAUUCAAAUUUAAAUCAUUAGAGGCUCAUGACUUAGUUUAGUGAGUUAUGGUUCAGAGCUCAACUGUGUUAGAAUCAUGUAACUUAGUUAUCAGAUAAUUGAUUUAAUGUAGUUUUAGUUAUUUAAAUUUGUUGCACUUAAUGAUAUUUAUGGUAUUUACACUCGACAGGGAUUAAUUACGGGUUCUCUCGACGACCAGUUAGAAUUGGGUGCCAAUCACAUUCCACUAAGUUUGGGGGCGUGACACAUUUAGUCUCCAUCUCACUCAAAAAGAUCUUUUUUACUCGCUCAAGACUCAUAUCUUAAGAUGGCUCUGAAAUCAAUUAUUGAUUUUUUAAAAAAGUUGAGAGUAUACAUGAAAUAACAA